RNAcentral lists this long non-coding RNA (1341 nucleotides) under Taeniopygia guttata (zebra finch). RNAcentral describes it as "lncRNA (ENSTGUG00000025474.1)". The record is from RNAcentral. Lineage: Eukaryota; Metazoa; Chordata; Aves; Passeriformes; Estrildidae.
AUGCCAGCUCAGCCAGGGCAUGUCAGGGUGUCACAGCAGCUUCCUCCCUGCUGCCUGGUUAGUGCCCACCCACCGUUCCCAUUGCCACACCCCCUGCCUUACCUCCAGGUCCUGGGCCAGCUCAAAGAGCAGCGCAAUGGUUUCCCCAGCCAGGAUGCGCAGGGCAACGCUGCUGCUGGUCAGCAGUGGGGGCAGCUGCAGCCAGUGACUGGGACAGGGAAGCAAGGGGGCAGUCUGAGAGGCCAAGUACUGCCCCAAGGGCUCAGUGCUCCACAGCUGGCUGCCCCACACCAGCCUCCGCUCACUUCACAUCCCACUCACUUGUCCAAAAUGCUCCUGAGGUGGGAGGGGGGGCAGAUGGUGAGGAGCAGGGACCAUGACUGGAGUGCGCUGCAGUGCAGAGGCCCAUGCUGGGCAGCUGCUGAGCCCCCUUCGCCUGUACUAGGGGGGCUGAAGAUGCCCUCCAAGCAGGACAGGCAUGAAAGCAGGUCCUGGAGGAGAGAAACUUCGCCAGUCAGACCACAGCUGCCAUGGAGAUGCCACACUGAGCUGUGCACUGGGGACCAAAGGGGACCCACCAUACUAAGGGGUGCCAGGAGCCCCUUGGGACAGGAGAGGCUACUCCACCCACAACACCCAAUCUGCUGGCUCCCCCCAGCUCAGCUCCAGGCUGCCCUGGGAAGGGGCCUGGGCUGUCACUCAUGUCCCCGUACCCCUACUCCAGCUCAGCUCCAGGCUGCUCUGGCACUGUGGGCUGAGGGCAGGUGGCAUGGCAGCCCCCGGGUGCCCUCUUGCAGGAUGACACCCAGGCGCAGUUACCUCGAGGUCAGCAGCAGCAAUGUAGCAGCACAUGCCCAGGGCCGUGGCACACUGGCAAGAGAAGUGAGGGAAAAGCAGUCAGAUCAGGCCCAGCUGGAUCAUGCCAGGCCUGAUUCAGCACCCAGCAAAGGGGCAGCCGGGUCGGGGUGCCCCUGCUUUGCCCCACUGCACCCCAUGGUGCCCAAUCCUGUCACCCUCCCGGGACCGCAGGGCUCCCAAAGGCAUUGCCUGGGCUCUCCCCGCCACGGAGGUGUCCCCGGGAGGGAAGGGGCCGGGCCUUACGCUCUGCCGGGCGCCGGGGCUGGCUGUGCUGUCUGUCAGGACGCUGAUGAGCAGGGGCUUCAGGCUGCGGAACACCUCUUCUCCCUCCGGGCCAGAGCCCAUCUGGAGGCAGAGGAGGGUGAGGACGGUGCCCGCCAGCGCCUGUUCUUCCCCUUUACCUGUGGGCAGCACAGAGACCUCCCUCAGGCACGGGUCAGCGGCCCCGCCGCCGCCGCCCGCAGCCACGCUGACCUUUCUUGA